UUUUUGGAGAGUUUGAUCUUGGCUCAGGACGAACGCUGGCGGCGUGCCUAAUACAUGCAAGUCGAGCGCGGGAAGCAAGUAAACAUCCUUUUGGAUGUUCGCUUGUGGAACGAGCGGCGGACGGGUGAGUAACACGUGGGCAACCUACCUAUAAGACUGGGAUAACUCGCGGAAACGUGAGCUAAUACCUGAUAAUACUUUUUAUCGCAUGAUGGAAAGU
Molecule: ribosomal RNA, 220 nt
Filed under: Oceanobacillus bengalensis
Lineage: Bacteria; Bacillati; Bacillota; Bacilli; Caryophanales; Bacillaceae
Description: Bacterial small subunit ribosomal RNA
Rfam family: Bacterial small subunit ribosomal RNA
Source: Rfam by way of RNAcentral